GCGAGAGAACCUUGGCAGAUCCCGGAGCCUGGCGCGGUGGGCCACCGACCGAGGGGCUCCCCAAAGAGCGGCCCCCACGGCCCAGUGAGGAGGGCUGCGGGCAGCCGGCUUACAUCUUUACUUUUUUCCCCCACUUGGAGUGAGAGCCCUUUUAUCUGAUGGAGGCUGUGUGAGGCAGUAGAAGGCGACUGGGCAUGAAGGCCAAGGAUCUGGUUCCAACCCUCCCUCUGCCGGCUACUACCCGUGUGGCCUUGGAGCCUCAGCAACUCAGACUUAAAAUGAGGAAGUGGUUGAGAUGGCCCCCAAGGGCCCUUCUAUGAUCUUCUCAUCCUGUUGUCAAAGAGAAAAAGUACUAAUCCUGUACUCUGCAUCUUAGGCCCAAGUCUGACCAUUUUAUUUUAUUUAACAUUAUUCUAAAUCCAAGCUCUUUCUAACUUAAAGAGAAAAAUGUCCAAACUGACAUAGGGCCUCCCAGACGCAUCCCUCUACCUAGGGACAGUCUUUCUGAGGUAACAUUGAUAGGAAUCUUGAACAUGAUCCGAAUAUGUCCAAAUACAAUUUGGGGUCAGCA
This is a long non-coding RNA of Vombatus ursinus (common wombat), 571 nucleotides long. RefSeq lists it as uncharacterized. The record is from RefSeq and is a predicted model, not a curated record. NCBI's taxonomy places the organism in Eukaryota, Metazoa, Chordata, Mammalia, Diprotodontia, Vombatidae. The transcript is spliced from 2 exons.